This 253-nucleotide ribosomal RNA is filed under the name uncultured bacterium. RNAcentral describes it as "partial 16S ribosomal RNA". It matches the Rfam family "Bacterial small subunit ribosomal RNA", at positions 524 to 776 of the family's 1533-position model. The record is from RNAcentral.
UACGGAGGGUGCGAGCGUUAAUCGGAAUAACUGGGCGUAAAGGGCACGCAGGCGGGUUGUUAAGUCAGAUGUGAAAUCCCCGGGCUCAACCUGGGAACUGCAUUUGAUACUGGCAAGCUUGAGUAUCGUAGGGGGGGGUAGAAUUCCAGGUGUAGCGGUGAAAUGCGUAGAGAUCUGGAGGAAUACCGGUGGCGAAGGCGGCCCCCUGGACGUAGACUGACGCUCAGGUGCGAAAGCGUGGGGAGCAAACAGG